CCACCGCGCCCAGUCUUUUUUUGUGCCUUUUGCCUUGAAUUUAAUUUUGUGUGAUACUAUAUUUAUGAUCAAUGUUUUCUUUCUGCUUGCGUUUGUUUGGUAUAUAUUUGCCCAUUUAAAAAAGUUUUCAGCCACCUGAAUCACUUUACAGCAGGUCUCUUGUGCACAGCAUAGAAUUGGGGUUUUUUGGUGGUGGUGUUAUCAGUCUGAGUACCCUUUAAAAAAAAGUGAGUUUAGCCCAUUUAUAUAACAGAUGUUUGAACUUAGUUCUCUUAUAUAUAAGUUCUGUUUUCUGUUUUUAUAACUUUUAACUUUCGUAUAGAGUCUCUUUGCUUUGGUUUUUUGCAUUUACUCUGAUAUUUAGGAAGAAUUAAAAUUUUGCUGUAAUGUGGACCUUUAUAACUAUGUAGAAUUGCCUUCACCUUACACUUCUUUAGAAAGAAUUGCAAAAAAAAAGAAGGGACCUAAAACCUGGAAAUAAGGCAGAAGAUGGCUGUAUGUCCUCGGGUGUCAUUCUGCAGCAGUGUCUGACAAGCCUGCUUGAGAGCCAUCUGUCUUUCUAGAAGCAGUUCUCAAGUUCAGUACCCAACUAGCAUCAUCAGCGCCAGCAUCACCUGGGAACUUAGAAAUGCAAGUUCUCAGGCCCCACCCCAGACCAACCGAAUCAGAAACUGUGAAUGAGGCCCAGCAAUGUGUGCUUUAACAAACCUUCAGGUGACUCUGAUGCAUGGACAGUGGUUCUCAGCCAGUAGCAAUUUUGUCACUUAGGGGACAUUUGGAAAUGUCUGAAGACAUUUUUGGUUAUAAAGGAAGUGCUAAUGGUAUCUAGAAGGCAGAAGCCAGGGACGCUGUUAAAUACCCUACAGCGCACAGGACAGCCCCCUUCCCACUUCCCAACAAAGAAUUCUCUGGCCCCAAAUGUCAAUAGUACAGAGAUAUAGGAACCUUCUUUACAGGAAUGUAUUUUUGUUUCAUUUACUAUUUACUAUGGAUUAGGGCUCAGUUUCUAACUUCCAGAAAAUGGGUAAGAUACAACAGAUUUUUUAUCGGGUAGAGGUGUAAAUUAUUUCUGUCUAGUAGAGAAGAUAACCUCAAAGAUUAUGGUUUAAUUGCCUUGUAGGAUAUUAUAUUCAUGUGUGCUGUGUAGCAAAAUACCCUAAUACCUAAUAACAUAAAACAAUAAACAUUUAUUAUUACCAUGAUUUCUGUGAGUCAGGAAUUCAUUAAGUAGCUUUAAUUCUUGGAAAAACAAUUUUCAUAUGCUCUGUAGCAAUUUUGUUUUCUGGUGAGUUUUCUGACAUCUGUUUAACUGUCCUUUUUUUUUUUCUUCUCAUAUCCCCUUGGUUUUGGUUUUACCUCUGUUUUAAUUUUGAGCUUUUAUUCAAAAUCUGUGGGAAGUUCCUGUAGGGAAGGAACCAGAGUAGAGUUCAGGCCAGGUGAAAUUUCUAUUAUCCUAGGUUUUGAGUGUGAGUUCAAUUAGUCUUAACAUCUUGCUGGGCACUGGCAACUAUGGGAUUUUUUGUUUUUUUUCAUCAUAAAGAGCCUCUGGCAUUCUGCUGUCACAGAGACAGAUUGCUUCUAGCAAAUAUUUCUUGUCAGUGUGCCCUGGCUCUCCUGCUUCUCAGAACCAAACAGGCCCGGGAAGCUCCUGCCACCAGCUAAUAUAUCCUUGUUUCUUCUGUUGUAAAUGAAGAUUGAGGAUUUGCACUUCAGAGUGUGCCCUUCUCUCUGAGCGGGAUAUUUGCUGCCGCCGGGUGUGUGUGCGUGUGCGUGUGUGUGUAAGAUAUUUGCUGCCGCCUGGUGUGUGUGUAUGUGUGUUUUGAGGCAAAGCCUCACUCUAGGCUGGGGUGCAGUGGUGUGAUCUUGGCUCACUUGCAACCUCUGCCUCCUGGGUUCAAGCGAUUCUCCUGCCUCAGCCUCCUGAGUAACUGGGAUUACAAGUGCGUGCUGCCAUGCCUAGCUAAUUUUUGUAUUUUUACUAGAGAUGGGGUUUCACCAUGUUGACCAGGCUGGUCUUGAACUCCUGGCCUCUAGUGAUCCACCCACCUUGGCCUCCCAAAGUGCUGGGAUUACAGGCAUGAGCCACCGCACCCGGCCUAUACUCCAUAUUUAAAUCUUUCCAGUUGUCCCCCAAAUACCUGCUUUACUUUCCUUUUCUUUUUUUUUUUUUUUUAAUCCAGACAGUGUGUCGCUCUGUUGCCCAGGCUGGAGUGCAGUGGUACAAUCAUAGCUCGCUGCAGCCUUGAACUCCGGUGUUUAAGUAGUCUUCCUGCCUCAGCCUCUCAAAUCACUGGGACCAUAGGCGUGAGCCACUGCUUUCUUCAAAAUUUGACCCAGAAUCCAAUCAAGGGUGACAGUGAUCAUCAGACCUACAAAAUGAAGGAAUCUUAAGAAAGAUGGCUUAACCCAGUCAGAAGGGACAAGCAUAAUUUUCUUCCAUGGCUAUUUAAAGCCAACUGGGAGCCGGGAUGGGAAACUACUAAAGUUUGAUGCACCAGACUUUGGCCUGAUGCGCUCUCAGCAAAAUGUACAGAGGAGAUGGCCACUUGGUCUUUGGGAGCCCCUGGCUCUCUCUUUUUAAUGACACUAGCUGCUCUUAGCGCCCACUACAGGAAAUGAAGCAAUGGAAGAAGCGCACCUCAUGUGAAAGCAUUUGGAUUUUGCUAGGCUAUUUUCUGAGUAGUAUUUGUCCCGUGGAAAAAUACAGAAGAGGAAAUGAUCUUAGUUAUUCAUGUCUUCAUUCUCCACAUUUGCUCUAUGUUUGGCCUGUGCCAGGGUUGUAGGAGAUGUCGAAAAAGCUCAGAUUCUGCCAAGCAAGGAGUCUGUGACAUCCUCGUGGUUAACAAGUAGGAAGUGACAAAUCCCUGAGGGGAGAUGUGAGGGCCUGCAGUUCCACGAGGGAGCGUUUGCCCAGGGGGUUCAGGGACAUCCUGGUGGUGGUGUCUUCGCUCUCCAGACAGACUCCUUCUAAACACCAUAAAGAAGAGGGCCUGGCCAGGCGCGGUGGCUCACACCUGUAAUCCCAGCACUUUUGGAGGCCGAGAAGAGCAGAUCACGAGGUCAGGAGAUCGAGACCAUCCUGGCUAAUAUGGUGAAACCCCGUCUCUACUAAAAAUACAAAAAAAUUAGCUGGUCAUGAUGGUGGGCGCCUGUGGUCCCAGCUACUUGGGAGGCUGAGGCAGGAGAAUGGCAUGAACUCAGGAGGCGGAGCUUGCAGUGAGCUGAGACCGCACCACUGCACUCCAGCCUGGGCAACAGAGCAAGAGUCCAUCUCAAAAAAAAAGAAGAGGGCCUUGCCAUGCCCUUCUGUGCCUCCCCACACCUCUUGCAUGGGGUGACAGAUUCACCAGAGGCAUACAGUAUGGGUAAUUAAAUGGGCUUAGCUCAAGUUGGAGAAGAACUAUUGCUAACCUCUUUGUGUUUGGGUUAGGUGGCUAUUAUCUACUUAAUAAAAUAAUGUUGAAAAAGCAGGGCCCACUGGGACUGAUGGGGGUGCCGUUCACAAUGUUCACAAUGUAUUAUAAGUGAACAAUGCCCCCACAUGUGGGCAGCAUGGCCCGCUCUUCCAGAAGAGUAAGUCACAGCCAAUGUGAAGUGACUCAAGAGUAUACAAAGACUGCUCCUUACUUCUUUUUGACAAGGAACUUCCACAAGUAGAAAACUCAAGGAUUCCUUUGAGCCUUAACAGCUAUUUGGUCCUUCAGAAUACAUAUUAAAAUGCAAAUGUCAGCCGGGCGCGGUGGCUCACGCCUGUAAUCCCAGCACUUUCGGAGGCCGAGGCGGGCGGAUCAUGAGCUCAAGAGAUCAAGACCAUCCUGGCCAACAUGGUGAAACCCCGUCACUACUAAAAAUACAAAAAUUAGCUGGGCAUGGUGGUGUGUGCCUAUAGUCCCAGCUAUUCAGGAGACUGAGGCAGGAGAAUCACUUGAACCCAGGAGGUAGAGGUUGCAGUGAGCCAAGAUCGCGCCACUGCAGGCGACAGAGAGAGAUUCUAUCUCAAAGAAAAAAUAAUAAUAAUAAAUAAAUAAAAUGCAAAUGUCUCCUAGGACAGAGCAGUAUUUUGUCUUAGGGACAGGAAGGAUUAUCUGACAACUAAGUAGAAGCAAGGAUGGCUGGAAGAGAGAGGGGCAUGAUCCAGAAAAGGGCAGUGGUGGCCAGGAUCAUCACAGCUUGAUCUUUAUGAUAAUCUAGUUUGCUUCUCUUUUGUAAAAGGUGAAUGUGAUGAUCCAGGAAGUUAGAUAAUUUGCAAUCUCCCACAACCUGGAAAUUCUUUCUCUGGAGCCCUUGGUAAUGAUAAUAGCAAUAAUAAUGAUGAUAGUUAACAUUUCUUGAACUCUUGCUAUGUGAAAGGCACAGUUAGGCUCUUUAUACAUAUUAGCUUAUUUAAUUGCUCAUGAUGUCCUUAUGGUGUAGGUAAUAAUAUUUUUCUCAUUUUUACAGAUGAGGAGACUGACCUACAGAGAGGUAAAGUCCCUUGGCAAGGUCUCAUAGCUAGUGAGGGAAAGAAGAAUGUGUCACUUGAGGGAAAGACAGGAAGCCAUUGCCCCUGCAUACUGUUGUGUGAGCAAAGGCACUGAGGUGGGACAAGAAAGGAUAAGAUUUAAGAAGAGACAUCCUAAUAUCCAGAUAUGUUACAUUAUUAGCAUUGCUGCAGGAACUGCUGAAAAAGAUACAGUCAAGCAAGGGUGCUGGGGGUGGGGGUGGGGAGGUAGGUUUGCUAAUGCUUACUUAAUAGCCAGGAACAAACAGUAGCUAGGAAGAGGCACUGGGUCAGUGUGCCUGCCAAGAACAGUAGAGGAUGAACUCAUGUGGAUGGGUAUGCAGGAGUAUUUCCCACAGUCCUUUGAUUUGAGACCACCGGCUGCUGUCAUAUUUGGAGUAAUUGUGGUGUAAGGCACACUGGACUGAGAGUCAGGAGACCUGGGUGUGACUCAUGGUUUUGCUGCUAAUGAUCUGUGUGACCUUGGGGGAAGUCACUUAACUUCUCCAGACCUCAGUUUCUUCAUCUACAAAAUAAGGGAAUUACUAACACUCUUUCAGUUCUGGAAUUCUAAUUCUAAAGUAAAUCUUCUGCAGAGCAAGUCUGUUUGUCUUCCUUAAACUUAAAAUGGAAUUUAUUUUAAAAGCAGAUGGUUCCGGCACUGGAACCAUUCUCCCACAAUUCCUUUCAAUGACACAUCUAUAGAGCUAUAGUUAUAAAUUCCUUUGAAAACCAAUGGGCUUUUUGACAUGAGUGUCAGUAAAGAUCAAAUCAAAUCGUACCAAUAAAAUUAAAUAUAUUUUAAAAACAAAAACAGCUGUAAAAAUUUUAAAUGAGUUAAUUUCAAUUAAACUCUCAAAGUAUCAAGGAAUACAUAAAAAAUGUGUACUCCGAGCCAUGUGACGUGCAACGUGUCUAAUAGUAUUUUAUCAUGCAACAACAUGGUGGGUAAGUAUUAACUCCCUUUUACAGAUAGAAAUAGACCCAAAGAUGGUGAAUAACUUGGUCAAGGACAUAGAGUUAGCAAGGGCAAAACUUUAACCCAGGGUUCCAGACUCCAGGUCCAGAGCUUUCUACUUCAUCACAGCUGCAUCAAGAAUGUAGCACCAGCAGGUCUGCUCCAAUGAGUCAGGGAGACAGGUGUGGAACUUCCAAGAAAGUCUACCUUGCUGCUCCUACAGAAUCAGGGCCUCUGUAAAAGGGAGGGGCAGGACAGAAGGACUAGAGAGCGGAGAUAAGAUCUUGAGUUUGUUUCUCUGUUUGUUUGUUUGUUUGUUUGUUUGUUUGUUUUUGAGAUGGAGUCUUGCUCUGUCGCCCAGGCUGGA
This 5805-nucleotide long non-coding RNA is filed under the name Homo sapiens (human). Its description in RNAcentral is "HSALNT0029761". Lineage: Eukaryota; Metazoa; Chordata; Mammalia; Primates; Hominidae. The record is from RNAcentral.